This 367-nucleotide ribosomal RNA is filed under the name uncultured organism. RNAcentral describes it as "bacterial LSU rRNA". It matches the Rfam family "Bacterial large subunit ribosomal RNA", at positions 2099 to 2465 of the family's 2925-position model. The record is from RNAcentral.
CUUUACUAUAGCCUGGAAUUGUGUUCGGGCUUCGCUUACGCAGGAUAGGUGGGAGGCUGUGAAGUUCUGCUUGUGGGCAGAAUCGAGCCAACGGUGAGAUACCACUCUAGCGAGGCUAGAAUUCUAACCCUUACCCGUCAUCCGGGAAGGAGACAGUUUCAGGGGGGUAGUUUGACUGGGGCGGUCGCCUCCUAAAAGGUAACGGAGGCGCGCAAAGGUUCCCUCCGGCUGGUUGGAAAUCAGCCCGAGAGUGCAAAGGCAUAAGGGAGCUUGACUGCAAGACCUACAAGUCGAGCAGGGUGGAAACACGGUCUUAGUGAUCCGACGGUGCCGCAUGGAAGGGCCGUCGCUCAACGGAUAAAAGUUA